GCCGGGUGUGGUGGCGGGCGCCUGUAAUCCCAGCUACUCGGGAGGCUGAGGCAGGAGAAUCACUUGAACCCGGGAGGUGGAGGUUGCAGUGAGCCGAAAUAGUGCCAUUGUACUCCAGCCUGGGCAACAGAGUGAGACUCUGUCUCAA
Molecule: non-coding RNA, 148 nt
Filed under: Pan paniscus (pygmy chimpanzee)
Lineage: Eukaryota; Metazoa; Chordata; Mammalia; Primates; Hominidae
Also listed under: 1 other name
Source: Rfam by way of RNAcentral